Molecule: transfer RNA, 65 nt
Filed under: Cryptotympana atrata
Lineage: Eukaryota; Metazoa; Arthropoda; Insecta; Hemiptera; Cicadidae
Description: tRNA-Leu
Source: RNAcentral
UCUAGUAUGGCAGAUUAGUGCAAUGAAAUUAAAAUUCAUAUAUAAAAAUUUUUUUUUUAUUAGAA